ACGAGUCAAAAAAAAAAAAAAAUGUUUUUUUGGCCUCCCAACCUCAACAGUAACUGAGCUUAUAUUUAUCUUGUGCCUUUGCAACACCCUUUUUCCCUUUUAUUGAGCUCCUUCCUCACUCCUAACCAUAUGACCAUGAUCUUUUGCUAAGUAGAAACUAUUUCUUUCCUUGAGAGAUGCAAACUUAUUGAAUGCAUAAUUGCCUACAUGUAUGUAUGAAAUACACAGAAAAACAUUCAUAUGCAUAUAUAUGCCCACUUUGUAAUUGCAUAAAGAGGACAUGUCUCACUAAUUGACCGUGUGAACUUUUUACUUAUAUUUCUCUAAGCUAGAAAUCUUAUUUCUAAAUUGAUAAGAUUUGUGGUGUUCUUGAUUAAUAAACUUAUAUUCCUUACCAGGAGUGAAUGCUGAUGAUGUUCGA
RNAcentral lists this unclassified non-coding RNA (421 nucleotides) under Hevea brasiliensis (rubber tree). The record is from RNAcentral. Lineage: Eukaryota; Viridiplantae; Streptophyta; Magnoliopsida; Malpighiales; Euphorbiaceae.